This 301-nucleotide ribosomal RNA is filed under the name uncultured bacterium. RNAcentral describes it as "partial 16S ribosomal RNA". It matches the Rfam family "Bacterial small subunit ribosomal RNA", at positions 509 to 807 of the family's 1533-position model. The record is from RNAcentral.
CAGUCACCGCGGGAAUACAGAGGGUGCGAGCGUUAAUCGGAUUUACUGGGCGUAAAGCGUGCGUAGGCGGCUUCUUAAGUCGGAUGUGAAAUCCCUGAGCUUAACUUAGGAAUUGCAUUCGAUACUGGGAAGCUAGAGUAUGGGAGAGGAUGGUAGAAUUCCAGGUGUAGCGGUGAAAUGCGUAGAGAUCUGGAGGAAUACCGAUGGCGAAGGCAGCCAUCUGGCCUAAUACUGACGCUGAGGUACGAAAGCAUGGGGAGCAAACAGGAUUAGAGACCCCCGUAGUCCCUGUCUCUUAUAC